Vicia faba (fava bean) is the source of this 219-nucleotide non-coding RNA. NCBI's taxonomy places the organism in Eukaryota, Viridiplantae, Streptophyta, Magnoliopsida, Fabales, Fabaceae. The record is from the annotation of a GenBank genome assembly.
AUGACAUACCGAUCCGGUAAAAAGACAUGCAUAAAAGUUAUAUGUUGCCUUAUGCUACCAAGUGCAGGUUUGAGAAAAUAUAAACAUCAACCUCAACUCUACAAUAUGAUGCAGCAACAAAAUAUAAACAUCAACCUUAUAUAUAAUGCAGCAACUUCAUUAGUUUAUCCCCAAAAAACACAGUAUAGUUGUUUAUACAUCAAUGGGUUAAAAAUAUAA